CCUACGGGUGGCAGCAGUGAGGAAUAUUGGUCAAUGGACGCAAGUCUGAACCAGCCAUGCCGCGUGCAGGAAGACGGCUCUAUGAGUUGUAAACUUCUUUUGUAGGGGGGUAAAUCACGCUACGUGUGUCGGUUCGAAAGUAUCGUACGAAUAAGGAUCGGCUAACUCCGUGCCAGCAGCCGCGGUAAUACGGAGGGUUCAAGCGUUAUCCGGAUUUAUUGGGUUUAAAGGGUGCGUAGGCGGAACGAUAAGUUAGAGGUGAAAGCCCGGGGCUCAACCCCGGAAGUGCCGUUGAUACUGGCUGGCUAGAGUUGAGGUGCGGUAGGCGGAAUGUAUGGUGUAGCGGUGAAAUGCAUAGAGAUCACGCAGAACACCGAUUGCGAAGGCAGCUUACCAAACUACGACUGACGUUGAGGCACGAAAGCGUGGGGAGCAAACAGGAUUAGAUACCCUAGUAGUC
RNAcentral lists this ribosomal RNA (460 nucleotides) under uncultured bacterium. Its description in RNAcentral is "partial 16S ribosomal RNA". It matches the Rfam family "Bacterial small subunit ribosomal RNA", at positions 338 to 795 of the family's 1533-position model. The record is from RNAcentral.